RNAcentral lists this ribosomal RNA (529 nucleotides) under uncultured bacterium. Its description in RNAcentral is "bacterial SSU rRNA". It matches the Rfam family "Bacterial small subunit ribosomal RNA", at positions 395 to 914 of the family's 1533-position model. The record is from RNAcentral.
CGCCCCGGGAUUGAUGAAGGUUUUCGAAUCGAAAAGCUCUGUUGUUAGGGAAAAACAAGUGCCGUUCGAAUAGGGCGGCACCUUGACGGACCCUAACCAAAAAGCCACGGCUAACUACUUGCCACCAGCCGCGGAAAUACGUAGGUGGCAAGCGUUGUCCGGAAUUAUUGGCCGUAAAGCGCGCGCAGGUGGUUCCUUAAUUCUAAUGUGAAACCCCACGGUUCACCCGUGAAGGGUCAUUGAAAACUGGGAAACUUGAUUGCAAAAAAGAAAAGUGAAAUUCCAAUUGUACCGUUGAAAUGCGUAAAUAUUUGAAGAAACACCAUUGCCAAAGGCAACUUUCUGGCCUGUAACUAACACUAAGGCCCGAAACCUUGGGAACCAAACAGGAUUAGAUACCCUGGUAGUCCACGCCGUAAACAAUAAUUGCUAGUUGUUAGGGGGUUUCCGCCCCUUAUGGCUGCAGCUAACGCAUUAACCACUCCGCCUGGGGAGUACGGUCGCAAGAUUAAAACUCAAAGAAUUUGAC